AUUGAACGCUGGCGGAAUGCUUUACACAUGCAAGUCGAACGGCAGCACGGGGGCAACCCUGGUGGCGAGUGGCGAACGGGUGAGUAAUACAUCGGAACGUGCCCAGUCGUGGGGGAUAACGUAGCGAAAGCUACGCUAAUACCGCAUACGAUCUACGGAUGAAAGCGGGGGAUCGCAAGACCUCGCGCGAUUGGAGCGGCCGAUGGCAGAUUAGGUAGUUGGUGGGGUAAAGGCUCACCAAGCCUUCGAUCUGUAGCUGGUCUGAGAGGACGACCAGCCACACUGGGACUGAGACACGGCCCAGACUCCUACGGGAGGCAGCAGUGGGGAAUUUUGGACAAUGGGCGAAAGCCUGAUCCAGCCAUUCCGCGUGCAGGAUGAAGGCCCUCGGGUUGUAAACUGCUUUUGUACGGAACGAAACGGCCUUUUCUAAUACAGAGGGCUAAUGACGGUACCGUAAGAAUAAGCACCGGCUAACUACGUGCCAGCAGCCGCGGUAAUGUAGUCG
RNAcentral lists this ribosomal RNA (508 nucleotides) under uncultured bacterium. Its description in RNAcentral is "bacterial SSU rRNA". It matches the Rfam family "Bacterial small subunit ribosomal RNA", at positions 30 to 531 of the family's 1533-position model. The record is from RNAcentral.